This 543-nucleotide ribosomal RNA is filed under the name Streptococcus constellatus. Its description in RNAcentral is "bacterial SSU rRNA". It matches the Rfam family "Bacterial small subunit ribosomal RNA", at positions 1 to 522 of the family's 1533-position model. Lineage: Bacteria; Bacillati; Bacillota; Bacilli; Lactobacillales; Streptococcaceae. The record is from RNAcentral.
UGGAGAGUUUGAUCCUGGCUCAGGACGAACGCUGGCGGCGUGCCUAAUACAUGCAAGUAGAACGCACAGGAUGCACCGUAGUUUACUACACCGUAUCCUGUGAGUUGCGAACGGGUGAGUAACGCGUAGGUAACCUGCCUGGUAGCGGGGGAUAACUAUUGGAAACGAUAGCUAAUACCGCAUAAGAACAUUUACUGCAUGGUAGAUGUUUAAAAGGUGCAAAUGCAUCACUACCAGAUGGACCUGCGUUGUAUUAGCUAGUUGGUGAGGUAACGGCUCACCAAGGCAACGAUACAUAGCCGACCUGAGAGGGUGAUCGGCCACACUGGGACUGAGACACGGCCCAGACUCCUACGGGAGGCAGCAGUAGGGAAUCUUCGGCAAUGGGGGGAACCCUGACCGAGCAACGCCGCGUGAGUGAAGAAGGUUUUCGGAUCGUAAAGCUCUGUUGUUAAGGAAGAACGUGUGUGAGAGUGGAAAGUUCACACAGUGACGGUACUUAACCAGAAAGGGACGGCUAACUACGUGCCAGCAGCCGCGGUA